GCCUCGGUGGUUGGGUGUUAGUAAUCUCGCCUGCCACGCGGGCGGCCUGGGUUCGAUUCCCGGCGGAUGCA
Molecule: non-coding RNA, 71 nt
Organism: Cordylochernes scorpioides
Lineage: Eukaryota; Metazoa; Arthropoda; Arachnida; Pseudoscorpiones; Chernetidae
Source: the annotation of a GenBank genome assembly